UAUAGGACAGCGGCAUCUCGAUCCUGACAAGGACCCGGCGUUGCGGAGACAAGAAGGCGGCCGCUGGCUGGCUGCUCCUCGCGUGGCCAGACUCUCAAGUGAUAGAUGGGAGAACUGUGCAUGCGCUCCUGCUUCUCCCCGCUUGAGGAGGGUCAACAGGGAAGAUCUAGGGCAGGGGAUAUCGGAGGAACACGAGAUUGUGGAGAGGAUUUGGUAGAAGAAAUACUGGCAGCGUAGCAUCUUGAAGAAAUCCAUCUGUUACGUGUACUUUAGCUUUUUACGAAGGAUUGUGACAUGGCAGCACUUUGCAUAUACAGGCUGAUCCGCGCUAGUGGUGCUUCAGCACAGAAGGCCAUCUGGUGGCCCCGAAACUAUGAGCUGCGUGCUAUUGCGGCGCAGGUGAUCGCAGGGUGGUGAGAGGCGUCAACGGAUGUGUCCAAGUCAAGUCAGGUUUGAAAUUUGGACAGCGGCAUCUCGAUUGCGACAAGGACCCGGUGUUGCGGAGACAAGAAGGCGCUGCUGGCUGGCUGCUCCUUCCAUGGAGCGCCAUCUCGAUCCUGACAAGACCAUGGAGUUGCGGAGGUAAGAGGCGGCCGCUGGCUGGCUGCUCCUCGCGUGGCCGGACUCUCAAGUGAUAGAUGGGAGAACUGUGCAUGCGCUCCUGCUUCUCCCCGCUUGAGGAGGGUCAACGGGGAAGAUCUAGGGCAGGGGAUAUCGGAGGAACACGAGAUUGUGGAGAGGAUUUGGUAGAAGAAAUACUGGCAGCGUAGCAUCUUGAAGAAAUCCAUCUGUUACGUGUACUUUAGCUUUUUACGAAGGAUUGUGACAUGGCAGCACUUUGCAUAUACAGGCUGAUCCGCGCUAGCGGUGCUUCAGCACAGAAGGCCAUCUGAUGGCCCCGAAACUAUGAGCUGCGUGCUAUUGCGGCGCAGGUGAUCGCAGGGUGGUGAGAGGCGUCAACGGAUGUGUCCAAGUCAAGUCAGGUCUGAAAUUUGGUAGGUAUAUCAUGUUCUCUGAAUUACGAUAUGUUAAUUCUCUAUCAUGCAAAUUAAAACCAAUACCAUCACGCUUGGGCUUUGUCUGUUUUAUUUACUUAUGGAUGAGUAUGAAUAGUAUGAUGAACUGCAGACUGAUAUUAAUUAGCAAAGGAGACACUGCGUAUUAGCAUUGCGGGAUUCAUAUUUCAGAAUACACUAGCGUCUUCCUUAAGGAGCUCAGGAAUAAUAACAGAAGUACUCAGGUUUGAGUUGGGGGUUCGAGACAUUGGACGUUUGUUUAAUUAUUUUGUAGUUAUCUGUACAUAAUUUUCCAUGAUUGGACUGACGUAAAUGAAAAGAAAUCAAGAGGUUUAGAAACUUUAUUGAUCAUUUUUUGCCCCUAAUCACCUACCACUUAUUCUAUCGGUAUACUAAUCCUAGACUCCCUAGAAAUUCCUACGUUAAUCAGUAAUUAGGAGCCGUUAAUCUGAUGAGACCGAGUUAUUACGAUGUGGAUCCACCGUAUAAUCCUUGCAAUCCAAGAAAAAACUAACAUAGCGCAGCUAUAAAAAAAACAAUCUAGGGUGGCUGUUAAAAAACAAAUCUAUCGUACUACUCUCCUACACGAUUGAUCCUUCCCAAAGAAUCCUCACGCGCAACUAAUCUUCACGCAAUAGUAAACCAAUCUUAAAAAAAACAAUCUAGGGUAACUGCAAAAAAACCAAUCCAUCGUACUACUACUACUACACGAUCCUUCCCCAAAGAAUCCUGACGCAAAACUAAUCCUCAAAAAAUAUAGGACAGCGGCAUCUCGAUUGCGACAAGGACCCGGCGUUGCGGAGACAAGAAGGCGCUGCUGGCUGGCUGCUCCUUCCAUGGAGCGCCAUCUCGAUCCUGACAAGACCAUGGAGUUGCGGAGGGAAGAGGCGGCCGCUGGCUGGCUGCUCCUCGCGUGGCCGGACUCUCAAGUGAUAGAUGGGAGAACUGUGCAUGCGCUCCUGCUUCUCCCCGCUUGAGGAGGGUCAACGGGGAAGAUCUAGGGCAGGGGAUAUCGGAGGAACACGAGAUUGUGGAGAGGAUUUGGUAGAAGAAAUACUGGCAGCGUAGCAUCUUGAAGAAAUCCAUCUGUUACGUGUACUUUUGGUACAAUGCUAGCCGGAAUCGACCAAUCUUUUUGUGAAAGUCAGCUUUUUGUUCCUAUGUGCAAUUCCCAUCUCUCUCCUUUCUCUCUUUACUACUGCUGCUAGCUAACUCCGUUGAUCUUCUAUAGCUUUUUACGAAGGAUUGUGACAUGGCAGCACUUUGCAUAUACAGGCUGAUCCGCGCUAGCGGUGCUUCAGCACAGAAGGCCAUCUGAUGGCCCCGAAACUAUGAGCUGCGUGCUAUUGCGGCGCAGGUGAUCGCAGGGUGGUGAGAGGCGUCAACGGAUGUGUCCAAGUCAAGUCAGGUCUGAAAUUUGGUAGGUAUAUCAUGUUCUCUGAAUUACGAUAUGUUAAUUCUCUAUCAUGCAAAUUAAAACCAAUACCAUCACGCUUGGGCUUUGUCUGUUUUAUUUACUUAUGGACGAGUAUGAAUAGUAUGAUGAACUGCAGACUGAUAUUAAUUAGCAAAGGAGACACUGCGUAUUAGCAUUGCGGGAUUCAUAUUUCAGAAUACACUAGCGUCUUCCUUAAGGAGCUCUGGAAUAAUAACAGAAGUACUCAGGUUUGAGUUGGGGGUUCGAGACAUUGGACGUUUGUUUAAUUAUUUUGUAGUUAUCUGUACAUAAUUUUCCAUGAUUGGACUGACGUACAUGAAAAGAAAUCAAGAGGUUUAGAAACUUUAUUGAUCAUUUUUUGCCCCUAAUCACCUACCACUUAUUCUAUGGGGAAUGAUGUUCAUUGGUCUGCGUGCAUGAAGACCCGCGGUCAGCAUGUGCUAGCACAUUGCAAGGAAGCAUAGCUGCGCUUUGGCAGGACUGCAGGAGCUAAGUUCCAUCAGUUCAUCAUCCUGACCCUCCCUUGAUACGUAGGUUGUUCUUCCUUCAAAUAUAACAGAUGCAGAGCACACAGGCAAGCAACAUGGCAGCCGGAGACAAGCCAUACUUUUUGGUGGACUGCAGCUAGCGUUGAUGUCCUAUUGCUAGAGAAAAAAAAGUAGCAACAACAUCAUUUGGUCCAUAGAGAAUAUCACAUGCGGUCCUUACUCAAGAAAGGCACGGAACGCUUGAGCCAGACAUUGCCAUCGGUGAUCGGUGGAGGCUAGGCAACAUCACCAUCAACUUAAAGAUAACCUAAAAUUAGGUCCGUGAGCAGUAGGGCUUCAAUCUGCAGUCUUGAUAUAAACACAUCAAAACAUGUACUACCCUCUAUUGAUGCAUGGAGACCAGGUUACAAUGGCUGCACUGACACCACUAUUUUUUAUCAAGAGAUUGAUCUAUAAUUUCCUUUUUCUAUAGAAGGUUGAUCUAUAGUUUCCCCUUUUUCUGUCAGUGCUUGAAGUUCUUCAUGUGUCGACUUCACAUGCGUUGUGUUUUGCUGCAGCACAUUCAUGGCAAGGACAUAUUGCUUAUUGAUGCUUAGGUGCUGGAAGGGUGCCCACAUGAUUACUGGAUUAGUACAUAAGAACGAAGCUAAUCAAGUAUGUGAAAUUAUCUAUGAGAAGAACAUUUUUAACACAGUAAAUGUUCACACGAUGGCUGCAAUCCAAGGGUGUCGACGAGGAUGACCAUGAACACGAUGGCGCUUUUUAGCUCGGAUGGUUAUACGAUAGAAAGCACAUCGAGCCUAUAUAAACUUAUAAAUCCAAUUAGAGGUUACAUUCAUCGACAAGCAGUAUUAGGCUUUCAAG
Long non-coding RNA from Triticum aestivum (bread wheat), 3806 nucleotides. RefSeq lists it as uncharacterized. NCBI's taxonomy places the organism in Eukaryota, Viridiplantae, Streptophyta, Magnoliopsida, Poales, Poaceae. The record is from RefSeq and is a predicted model, not a curated record. The transcript is spliced from 5 exons.